RNAcentral lists this long non-coding RNA (1170 nucleotides) under Cyanistes caeruleus (blue tit). RNAcentral describes it as "lncRNA (ENSCCEG00000006956.1)". The record is from RNAcentral. Lineage: Eukaryota; Metazoa; Chordata; Aves; Passeriformes; Paridae.
AUCCCUGACCCCCACGCCAUCUCCUCACGGCCGCCAUCCCCCCAACCCCCACCAUUCCCGCGCCCCGCCGGCAUUCCCCGCACCGUCAGUGUCCCCGUGCUGUACCCGGACCUGCGGCGGGAGGUCAGGGUUGGCGAGGGCUGCUGCGCCCGGGGAGCGGGACCGCCUUGUGAGGGGGAAAAAUGAACCCUUGGCAGGUGUUUGCGUAGGAGACUUCGGUGUGAGCAGUGAACGCCUGGAAAAGGCGUGAGGGAUCGAUGGCAGGGGAUUCUGAGGGGAUACCUGAGGCAGCCGGUGCCGUGCUCUGCAGCCGCCCCGAUGCCGUGGUGCCGGCACUGCCAGGGUACACGUGGUGAAUAGUGCCCUGCAUUGUACGUGCUCGAGUGAUCACGAUGCAGCCUUUGGACCCCACGGAUGGGGUGGGGAAAAAAUCCAGUCCAUUUUCUCUGAUGCUACUGGACUGAGCACUUCUGCCAUAGGAUUUGCCAGUUAUUGUUGACAGUUCCCUGCCAGCCUCCUGUGGCCCCUUGGCUCUGCGGAUCGUGGGGCAGGCAGAAUGAAGGAAAGAGUGGUCAUCUCCUGUCACCCAUCCCUGUCCUAAUAACAGAUGUCCCCAAGUCAGCAGAAAACAGAGAGAAUUUCUUCCUUUACUUCUCUUUGCCUAAAAGGAUAUCCCCACCUUGUUUGUGCUGAAGAGGAACCCUCACUGCAGCUCAGGAAGGAGAAAGCUUCUCAUGGAAACGGGCUUUUUUGUGGACAUUAUGACUGAAAUACUAAUGCUGGUGAGGAGCACCAUGGUCAGCACACAAGAUAGGAGACCAGCAGACCUUUCCCCAGGACAGGCGAGAGCAGAACCCCCUCACCCGAGGAGCCCCAGCUGCUGAGCUAUUACAAGGACUAAGCGGUGUAUUCGAGCAAGAUGGAUCCCGUCCCAAAGCUUUGCAUGUAAAAACACACACUUUGAAUUUCACAGGAGCCAAAGCUGCCUGCCAGGAACACUAGGAGGAACACACUCAGCCAGUGGGUGUUCUGUGCUCACACAGGGAAGCUCCCUUUUGAUCUCUGGGUUUAGUCUUAUGGACUGUUCUCUGCAGAAACCCAAACUCCAGGUGACAGAAGCACAGUAAGGCCCACCUCCAGGGGAAAAAAUAAAAGAACAAAAAGUAUCCA